Molecule: long non-coding RNA, 369 nt
Filed under: Cicer arietinum (chickpea)
Lineage: Eukaryota; Viridiplantae; Streptophyta; Magnoliopsida; Fabales; Fabaceae
Description: long non-coding RNA (CARI_LNC001898)
Source: RNAcentral
AAAAAUUGAUCAACUUCCCUAAUUUGAGGUGUGUUAUCCUCUUUUAUCUCACCCCAAGACAACCAUGGUUUUUUAUAUUUCUCUUGUAUGACUUCAGCAAUUGCUUUUGCAGAUGAUUUAAAAGGAAGAUAUCUUCAAAGUUUAUAUGCAAAUUAAAUAUAAAAAUAAAUUAAUAAAAUUAAUAAUGUAAUUACAUUGCAAAAAUAAUGAAAUAUAUAAUCAAUCAUAGUUUACAUAUCCAUCUCCUUCUGGAAUGAUGACAAUGCGGUUGUAGCAAUCAACACAUCCGGGAUUCAUUAUUUCGUCUAAGGUAUAAGGCUCUAUUGGGACCUCCGGAUAUAGAGGAAUAGCUCCACCACUAGUACCAAU